Molecule: long non-coding RNA, 310 nt
Filed under: Cyclopterus lumpus (lumpfish)
Lineage: Eukaryota; Metazoa; Chordata; Actinopteri; Perciformes; Cyclopteridae
Description: lncRNA (ENSCLMG00005022547.1)
Source: RNAcentral
GUGUGUGUGUGUGUGUGUGUGUGUGUGUCCUUCUGAACCAGACCAGCGUCGUAUGGUGGAGAUCAUCGGCUACCUGACGAAGAUGAGGUUUGGAGAACAGGAGUCGAGCAAAUCAAAGGACACAAAAGAGACAGGGGGUAUCUACUCCAGACUGGAAGCGCAAUUUAAGAGUGGCGCUCAAGCCAGACAGAGUUCAGAGAAGACACCUAGAUCUAAAAUACGCUACGCUCAGAUCCGGACAACUUAAAGAACCCGAUGGGGAAAAGGCUGCCGAGCUGUCUAAGAGACGGGCAUGAAAACUGACAGAGAG